CGAGGACGAACGCUGGCGGCGUGCUUAACACAUGCAAGUCGAACGGUAAGGCCCUUCGGGGUACACGAGUGGCGAACGGGUGAGUAACACGUGGGUGAUCUGCCCUGCACUUCGGGAUAAGCUUGGGAAACUGGGUCUAAUACCGGAUAGGACCACGGUCUGCAUGGAUUGUGGUGGAAAGCUUUUGCGGUGUGGGAUGGGCCCGCGGCCUAUCAGCUUGUUGGUGGGGUGAUGGCCUACCAAGGCGACGACGGGUAGCCGGCCUGAGAGGGUGUCCGGCCACACUGGGACUGAGAUACGGCCCAGACUCCUACGGGAGGCAGCAGUGGGGAAUAUUGCACAAUGGGCGCAAGCCUGAUGCAGCGACGCCGCGUGGGGGAUGACGGCCUUCGGGUUGUAAACCUCUUUCAGCAGGGACGAAGGGUGACUGACGGCACCUGUAGAAGAAGCACCGGCCAACUACGUG
This 466-nucleotide ribosomal RNA is filed under the name uncultured bacterium. Its description in RNAcentral is "bacterial SSU rRNA". It matches the Rfam family "Bacterial small subunit ribosomal RNA", at positions 26 to 507 of the family's 1533-position model. The record is from RNAcentral.